GUGGGGGAUAUUGGUCAAUGGGGGGAACCCUGAACCAGCCAUGCCGCGUGAGGGAAUGAGGCCCUACGGGUCGUGAACCUCUUUUAUUCGGGGACAACGGCGGCGUCGAGAACGCCGCGUGAGGGUACCGAAGGAAUAAGCGUCGGCUAACUCCGUGCCAGCAGCCGCGGUAAUACGGAGGACGCGAGCGUUAUCCGGAUUCAUUGGGUUUAAAGGGUGCGCAGGCGGCCGUGCAAGUCAGCGGUGAAAGCCCGGGGCUCAACCCCGGAAGUGCCGUUGAUACUGCAUGGCUGGAAUGCGGUCGAGGCGGGCGGAACGUGGCGUGUAGCGGUGAAAUGCGUAGAUAUGCCACAGAACGCCGAUAGCGGAGGCAGCUCGCCAGGCCUGCAUUGACGCUCGGGCACGAAAGCGUGGGGAUCGAACAGG
RNAcentral lists this ribosomal RNA (426 nucleotides) under uncultured rumen bacterium. Its description in RNAcentral is "bacterial SSU rRNA". It matches the Rfam family "Bacterial small subunit ribosomal RNA", at positions 354 to 776 of the family's 1533-position model. The record is from RNAcentral.